UGGAAGUAAAAGUCGUAACAAGGUUUCCGUAGGUGAACCUGCGGAAGGAUCAUUACUGAUUUGCUUAAUUGCACCACAUGUGUUUUUCUUUGAAACAAACUUGCUUUGGCGGUGGGCCCAGCCUGCCGCCAGAGGUCUAAACUUACAACCAAUUUUUUAUCAACUUGUCACACCAGAUUAUUACUAAUAGUCAAAACUUUCAACAACGGAUCUCUUGGUUCUCGCAUCGAUGAAGAACGCAGCGAAAUGCGAUACGUAAUAUGAAUUGCAGAUAUUCGUGAAUCAUCGAAUCUUUGAACGCACAUUGCGCCCUCUGGUAUUCCGGAGGGCAUGCCUGUUUGAGCGUCGUUUCUCCCUCAAACCGCUGGGUUUGGUGUUGAGCAAUACGACUUGGGUUUGCUUGAAAGACGGUAGUGGUAAGGCGGGAUCGCUUUGACAAUGGCUUAGGUCUAACCAAAAACAUUGCUUGCGGCGGUAACGUCCACCACGUAUAUCUUCAAACUUUGACCUCAAAUCAGGUAGGACUACCCGCUGAACUUAAGCAUAUCAAUAAGCGGAGGAA
RNAcentral lists this unclassified non-coding RNA (562 nucleotides) under Candida albicans. RNAcentral's name for it is "sequence contains 18S rRNA gene, ITS1, 5.8S rRNA gene, ITS2, 28S rRNA gene". The stretch from base 195 to 348 matches the Rfam family "5.8S ribosomal RNA". The record is from RNAcentral. Lineage: Eukaryota; Fungi; Ascomycota; Pichiomycetes; Serinales; Debaryomycetaceae.